This 427-nucleotide ribosomal RNA is filed under the name uncultured bacterium. RNAcentral's name for it is "partial 16S ribosomal RNA". It matches the Rfam family "Bacterial small subunit ribosomal RNA", at positions 355 to 774 of the family's 1533-position model. The record is from RNAcentral.
UGGGGAAUAUUGCACAAUGGGCGCAAGCCUGAUGCAGCCAUGCCGCGUGUAUGAAGAAGGCCUUCGGGUUGUAAAGUACUUUCAGCGGGGAGGAAGGUGUUGUGGUUAAUAACCACAGCAAUUGACGUUACCCGCAGAAGAAGCACCGGCUAACUCCGUGCCAGCAGCCGCGGUAAUACGGAGGGUGCAAGCGUUAAUCGGAAUUACUGGGCGUAAAGCGCACGCAGGCGGUCUGUCAAGUCGGAUGUGAAAUCCCCGGGCUCAACCUGGGAACUGCAUCCGAAACUGGCAGGCUUGAGUCUUGUAGAGGGGGGUAGAAUUCCAGGUGUAGCGGUGAAAUGCGUAGAGAUCUGGAGGAAUACCGGUGGCGAAGGCGGCCCUCUGGACAAAGACUGACGCUCAGGUGCGAAAGCGUGGGGAGCAAACA